RNAcentral lists this transfer RNA (71 nucleotides) under Candidatus Endomicrobiellum pyrsonymphae. Its description in RNAcentral is "tRNA-Gly". It matches the Rfam family "tRNA". From Rfam's summary of the family: Transfer RNA (tRNA) molecules are approximately 80 nucleotides in length. Their secondary structure includes four short double-helical elements and three loops (D, anti-codon, and T loops). Lineage: Bacteria; Pseudomonadati; Elusimicrobiota; Endomicrobiia; Endomicrobiales; Endomicrobiaceae. RNAcentral also lists the same sequence under 7 other names. The record is from RNAcentral.
GCGGGCGUAGUCUAGUGGUAAAACCCAAGCUUCCCAAGCUUGUGAUGUGGGUUCGAUUCCCAUCGCCCGCU